CAAGAGCUUGAAUGUUGUUGUGA
Molecule: microRNA, 23 nt
Filed under: Petromyzon marinus (sea lamprey)
Lineage: Eukaryota; Metazoa; Chordata; Hyperoartia; Petromyzontiformes; Petromyzontidae
Description: pma-miR-430b
Gene: pma-miR-430b
Source: miRBase by way of RNAcentral